CGGUUAAGUUAGAAAGGGCGCACGGUGGAUGCCUUGGCACUAGGAGCCGAUGAAGGACGGGACGAACACCGAUAUGCUUCGGGGAGCUGUAAGCAAGCUUUGAUCCGGAGAUUUCCGAAUGGGGAAACCCACCACUCGUAAUGGAGUGGUAUCCAUAUCUGAAUACAUAGGAUAUGAGAAGGCAGACCCGGGGAACUGAAACAUCUAAGUACCCGGAGGAAGAGAAAGCAAAUGCGAUUCCCUGAGUAGCGGCGAGCGAAACGGGACCAGCCCAAACCAAGAGGCUUGCCUCUUGGGGUUGUAGGACACUCUGUACGGAGUUACAAAGGAACGAGGUAGAUGAAGAGGUCUGGAAAGGCCCGCCAUAGAAGGUAACAGCCCUGUAGUCAAAACUUCGUUCUCUCCUGAGUGGAUCCUGAGUACGGCGGAACACGUGAAAUUCCGUCGGAAUCCGGGAGGACCAUCUCCCAAGGCUAAAUACUCCCUAGUGACCGAUAGUGAACCAGUACCGUGAGGGAAAGGUGAAAAGCACCCCGGAAGGGAGUGAAAGAGAUCCUGAAACCGUGUGCCUACAAGUAGUCAGAGCCCGUUAACGGGUGAUGGCGUGCCUUUUGUAGAAUGAACCGGCGAGUUACGAUCCCGUGCAAGGUUAAGCAGAAGAUGCGGAGCCGCAGCGAAAGCGAGUCUGAAUAGGGCGAAUUGAGUACGUGGUCGUAGACCCGAAACCAGGUGAUCUACCCAUGUCCAGGGUGAAGUUCAGGUAACACUGAAUGGAGGCCCGAACCCACGCACGUUGAAAAGUGCGGGGAUGAGGUGUGGGUAGGGGUGAAAUGCCAAUCGAACCUGGAGAUAGCUGGUUCUCUCCGAAAUAGCUUUAGGGCUAGCCUCAAGGUAAGAGUCUCGGAGGUAGAGCACUGAUUGGACUAGGGGCCCCUACCGGGUUACCGAAUUCAGUCAAACUCCGAAUGCCGAUGACUUAUCCUUGGGAGUCAGACUGCGAGUGAUAAGAUCCGUAGUCGAAAGGGAAACAGCCCAGACCGCCAGCUAAGGUCCCAAAGUAUACGUUAAGUGGAAAAGGAUGUGGAGUUGCUUAGACAACCAGGAUGUUGGCUUAGAAGCAGCCACCAUUUAAAGAGUGCGUAAUAGCUCACUGGUCGAGUGACUCUGCGCCGAAAAUGUACCGGGGCUAAACGUAUCACCGAAGCUGCGGACUGUUCUUCGAACAGUGGUAGGAGAGCGUUCUAAGGGCUGUGAAGCAAGACCGGAAGGACUUGUGGAGCGCUUAGAAGUGAGAAUGCCGGUAUGAGUAGCGAAAGAGGGGUGAGAAUCCCCUCCACCGAAUGCCUAAGGUUUCCUGAGGAAGGCUCGUCCGCUCAGGGUUAGUCGGGACCUAAGCCGAGGCCGAAAGGCGUAGGCGAUGGAUAACAGGUUGAUAUUCCUGUACCACCUCCUCACCAUUUGAGCAAUGGGGGACGCAGGAGGAUAGGGUAAGCGCGGUAUUGGAUAUCCGCGUCCAAGCAGUUAGGCUGGGAAAUAGGCAAAUCCGUUUCCCGUGAAGGCUGAGCUGUGAUGGCGAGCGAAUUAUAGUAGCGAAGUUCCUGAUUCCACACUGCCAAGAAAAGCCUCUAGCGAGGUGAGAGGUGCCCGUACCGCAAACCGACACAGGUAGGCGAGGAGAGAAUCCUAAGGUGAUCGAGAGAACUCUCGUUAAGGAACUCGGCAAAAUGACCCCGUAACUUCGGGAGAAGGGGUGCUCUGUUAGGGUGCAAGCCCGAGAGAGCCGCAGUGAAUAGGCCCAGGCGACUGUUUAGCAAAAACACAGGUCUCUGCGAAGCCGUAAGGCGAAGUAUAGGGGCUGACGCCUGCCCGGUGCUGGAAGGUUAAGAGGAGCGCUUAGCGUAAGCGAAGGUGCGAAUUGAAGCCCCAGUAAACGGCGGCCGUAACUAUAACGGUCCUAAGGUAGCGAAAUUCCUUGUCGGGUAAGUUCCGACCCGCACGAAAGGCGCAACGAUCUGGGCACUGUCUCAACGAGAGACUCGGUGAAAUUAUAGUACCUGUGAAGAUGCAGGUUACCCGCGACAGGACGGAAAGACCCCGUGGAGCUUUACUGCAGCCUGAUAUUGAAUGUUGGUACAGCUUGUACAGGAUAGGUAGGAGCCUUGGAAACCGGAGCGCCAGCUUCGGUGGAGGCAUCGGUGGGAUACUACCCUGGCUGUAUUGACCUUCUAACCCGCCGCCCUUAUCGGGCGGGGAGACAGUGUCAGGUGGGCAGUUUGACUGGGGCGGUCGCCUCCUAAAAGGUAACGGAGGCGCCCAAAGGUUCCCUCAGAAUGGUUGGAAAUCAUUCGCAGAGUGUAAAGGCACAAGGGAGCUUGACUGCGAGACCUACAAGUCGAGCAGGGACGAAAGUCGGGCUUAGUGAUCCGGUGGUUCCGCAUGGAAGGGCCAUCGCUCAACGGAUAAAAGCUACCCCGGGGAUAACAGGCUUAUCUCCCCCAAGAGUCCACAUCGACGGGGAGGUUUGGCACCUCGAUGUCGGCUCAUCGCAUCCUGGGGCUGUAGUCGGUCCCAAGGGUUGGGCUGUUCGCCCAUUAAAGCGGUACGCGAGCUGGGUUCAGAACGUCGUGAGACAGUUCGGUCCCUAUCCGUCGCGGGCGCAGGAAAUUUGAGAGGAGCUGUCCUUAGUACGAGAGGACCGGGAUGGACGCACCGCUGGUGUACCAGUUGUUCUGCCAAGGGCAUCGCUGGGUAGCUAUGUGCGGACGGGAUAAGUGCUGAAAGCAUCUAAGCAUGAAGCCCCCCUCAAGAUGAGAUUUCCCAUUCCGCAAGGAAGUAAGAUCCCUGAAAGAUGAUCAGGUUGAUAGGUCUGAGGUGGAAGUGUGGCGACACAUGGAGCUGACAGAUACUAAUCGAUCGAGGACUUAACCAAUUU
This 2932-nucleotide ribosomal RNA is filed under the name Bacillus velezensis. RNAcentral describes it as "bacterial LSU rRNA". It matches the Rfam family "Bacterial large subunit ribosomal RNA". The record is from RNAcentral. Lineage: Bacteria; Bacillati; Bacillota; Bacilli; Caryophanales; Bacillaceae.